Gymnothorax javanicus (giant moray) is the source of this 72-nucleotide non-coding RNA. Lineage: Eukaryota; Metazoa; Chordata; Actinopteri; Anguilliformes; Muraenidae. The record is from the annotation of a GenBank genome assembly.
UGUUGGAUAGCUCACUCGGUUAAAGCAUUGCAUUGCGAAGCAGAGGCGUGGGUUCGAGCCCCGGUCGUACCA